Molecule: ribosomal RNA, 1054 nt
Filed under: Phylloporia sp. MUCL CU05_249
Lineage: Eukaryota; Fungi; Basidiomycota; Agaricomycetes; Hymenochaetales; Hymenochaetaceae
Description: eukaryotic LSU rRNA
Rfam family: Eukaryotic large subunit ribosomal RNA
Source: RNAcentral
UAACGAGGAUUCCCUCAGUAACUGCGAGUGAAGCGGGAAGAGCUCAAAUUUGUAAUCUGGCGGUCCCCGGCCGUCCGAGUUGUAAUCUGUAGAGGCAUCGUCUGCGUCGGCCCGCACACGAGUCUCCUGGAAUGGAGCGUCAUAGAGGGUGAGAAUCCCAUCCAUGGUGCGGAUGACCGAGGCUCCGUGAGGUGCCCUCGAAGAGUCGCGUUGUUUGGGAAUGCAGCGCAAAAUGGGUGGUAAACUCCAUCUAAGGCUAAAUACGGGCGAGAGACCGAUAGCGAACAAGUACCGUGAGGGAAAGAUGAAAAGCACUUUGAAAAGAGAGUUAAACAGCACGUGAAAUCGUUGAAAGGGAAACGUUUGAAGUCAGUCGCGUUCCGGGCAUUCAGCCCGGCUUGGGGCUUGGUGCACUUGCCUUGGAACGGGUCAGCAUCGAUGUCGGCCGGCGGACAAGGGUGGGGGGGCAUGUGGCGUCGUUCGGACGACGUGUUAUAGCCCCCCAUCGGAUGCGUCGGCUGAGAUUGAGGGUGGCAGCACGCCCUUGUGGCCGGAGGCCUCUGGCCUCACGUAACGUGCUCAGGAUGUUGGCAGAAUGGCUUUAAGCGACCCGUCUUGAAACACGGACCAAGGAGUCUAACAUGCUUGCGAGUGUUCGGGUGGAAAACCCUUGCGCGAAAUGAAAGUGAAAGUUGGGAGCCCUCGUUCGAGGGGCGCACUGACGCCCGGCCCGGAAGACCUCUGACGGUGCUGCGGUGGAGCAGGCGUGUUGGGACCCGAAAGAUGGUGAACUAUGCCUGAAUAGGGUGAAGCCAGAGGAAACUCUGGUGGAGGCUCGCAGCGAUUCUGACGUGCAAAUCGAUCGUCGAAUUUGGGUAUAGGGGCGAAAGACCAAUCGAACCAUCUAGUAGCUGGUUCCCGUCGAAGUUUCCCUCAGGAUAGCAGAGACUCGGGUCAGAUUUAUGUGGUAAAGCGAAUGAUUAGAGGCCUUGGGGUUGGAACAACCUCAACCUAUUCUCAAACUUUAAAUGCGUAAGAGCGGGCGGUCUCUCGG